This 97-nucleotide small RNA is filed under the name Sinorhizobium meliloti 2011. RNAcentral's name for it is "putative ncRNA". The record is from RNAcentral. Lineage: Bacteria; Pseudomonadati; Pseudomonadota; Alphaproteobacteria; Hyphomicrobiales; Rhizobiaceae.
AAAUAUUCCUGCUCGGGAUCAUGGCUCAUAUUGGUGAAGGGCAGGACGGCGAUCGAUAAUUCGUAACCGCGGUCGACCACGCCGGACGAUUCCGCAC